CACGUAGGCGGCGAUCCAAGUCAGGGGUGAAAUCCCGGGGCUCAACCCCGGAACUGCCCUUGAAACUAGAUUGCUAGAAUACUGGAGAGGUGAGUGGAAUUCCGAGUGUAGAGGUGAAAUUCGUAGAUAUUCGGAAGAACACCAGUGGCGAAGGCGACUCACUGGACAGUUAUUGACGCUGAGGUGCGAAAGCGUGGGGAGCAAACA
RNAcentral lists this ribosomal RNA (207 nucleotides) under uncultured bacterium. Its description in RNAcentral is "partial 16S ribosomal RNA". It matches the Rfam family "Bacterial small subunit ribosomal RNA", at positions 568 to 774 of the family's 1533-position model. The record is from RNAcentral.